This 636-nucleotide ribosomal RNA is filed under the name Triticum aestivum (bread wheat). RNAcentral's name for it is "partial small subunit ribosomal RNA". Lineage: Eukaryota; Viridiplantae; Streptophyta; Magnoliopsida; Poales; Poaceae. The record is from RNAcentral.
CCGGCCCCGCAGCAGCCGUACUACGCGCCCCAGCCUCCCCCUCCGCCCGCCCCGCGCCGGAGCGGCCCCGGCUGCCUCCUGUGCUUCGUCUUCAAGGUCAUCGCCCUGGUCGUCAUCGCGCUGGGCGCCGCCGUCCUCGUGCUCUGGCUCAUCCUGCGCCCGGGCGCCGUCAGGGCCACCGCCGUCUCCGCCACGCUCUCCCGCUUCGACCUCGCCGACGGCGAGGGGGUCCUCCAGUACAACCUCACCGUGGACGUCCGCGUCCGCAACCCCAACCGCUUCCGCAUCCACUACGAGUACGCCGAGGCGCAGGCGUCCUACGACGGCGAGCGCUUCGGGUACCACCCCGUCCAGCCCUUCUACCUGGAGCGGAAGGGCGAGCGCACCGUCACGGCCGCGUUCGCCGGCUCGUCGGCCGUCGACGACCGCGGCGCGCUGCGCUCGUACCGGAGGGAGAGGGGCGACGGCUUCUACUACGUCAAGGUGAGGCUCUACGCCGACCUCGGGUUCAAGGUCAGGGUCUUCAACGCGCGCCGCAAGAGCAAGAUCACCUGCACGCUCCGCCUGCCGGUGCCCAACGCGAGCGCGGCGCCGGUGCCGACGAUGCUGGGGACGAGGUGCGCCGUGGACUUCUGA